Molecule: small nuclear RNA, 103 nt
Filed under: Leptinotarsa decemlineata (Colorado potato beetle)
Lineage: Eukaryota; Metazoa; Arthropoda; Insecta; Coleoptera; Chrysomelidae
Source: RNAcentral
GUUUACAUUACACAUAUACUAAAAUUGGAACGAUACAGAAAAGAUUAGCAUGGCCCCCGCGCGCAAGGAUGACACGCAAAAUCGUGAAGCGCUACACAUUUUU